RNAcentral lists this ribosomal RNA (469 nucleotides) under uncultured bacterium. RNAcentral describes it as "partial 16S ribosomal RNA". It matches the Rfam family "Bacterial small subunit ribosomal RNA", at positions 28 to 507 of the family's 1533-position model. The record is from RNAcentral.
GACGAACGCUGGCGGCGUGCUUAACACAUGCAAGUCGAACGGAAAGGCCCUGCUUGCAGGGUGCUCGAGUGGCGAACGGGUGAGUAACACGUGGGUGAUCUGCCCCUUACUUUGGGAUAAGCCUGGGAAACUGGGUCUAAUACUGGAUAGGACCAUGCUGUAGGCGGUGUGGUGGAAAGAUUAGUUUCGGUGAGGGAUGAGCUCGCGGCCUAUCAGCUUGUUGGUGGGGUAAUGGCCUACCAAGGCGUCGACGGGUAGCCGGCCGGAGAGGGUGGACGGCCACAUUGGGACUGAGAUACGGCGCAGAAGCCUACGGGAGGCAGCAGUGGGGGAGAUUGCACAAUAGGCGCAAGCCGGAUGCAGCGACGCCGCGUGGUGGAUGACGGCCUUCGGGUUGUAAACUCCUUUCAGCCAUGACGAAGCCCUUGUGGUGACGGUAGUGGGAGAAGAAGCACCGGCUAACUACGUG